Molecule: small RNA, 718 nt
Filed under: Pongo abelii (Sumatran orangutan)
Lineage: Eukaryota; Metazoa; Chordata; Mammalia; Primates; Hominidae
Description: retained intron
Source: RNAcentral
AAGUUUUCCAUAUCAUACGCACUCUUCUUUUAAAUCAUCAGUGUUAACAGGUACACUUGCCAGCAGAUAGAUAAAACUAUAGUUUAAAUAGCCUCUUAAUGUGCAGUUUUAAACAUCAAAUCUGUAAUAGCUAAACCUAGUUUUGCCAUUGCUUCAGGAAGUGACAGCUAAAACUAAGACAGAGAUGUAUCAGAACAUGGAUGACGAAAUGAAGAGAGAGCACUUGGCUGCAGAACAGCGCAUGGUCCACAGAAUCCAAAGGAUUAUGAUGGAAUGCCACAGAGAGAAGGUCAAAGCUGUGGAGAAAGCCAGGGCUGAAGAAAGACGCAUCGCCCAAGAAGCAAUCCGGGCCCAGAAAAGCAAAGCCGUGGAGGAAAUUGUGAAUACUGGUGUCACAGUUAUUAAGGAUGAGAAGACCAGUGUGGCCCGACUGAUGAGGGAAAAAGAACAUGAAAUGAACAUCCUCUAUGGCAUAGCUCAGAGGCAGAGGCAAGAAGAGGUACAGGAAGUGCUUCAAGAAGCAGAGAAAACACAUCAGGCCACUCUUGGCAAUAUGAUGGAUAAACUGGCUAACACCCAGGGGGAGCUGCUGUCUAUAGCAAAACAACUGGGAAUCAUGACAAAUUGGAAAGAUUUCCUAGAGGAGGAAUUACAGGAAACCAGGAUGGCAUUUCAAAAAUACAUCAAUUAUACCUUCCCUAAGCUUUCACCAGGACAU